AGUGAACGCUGGCGGUAGGCCUAAUACAUGCAAGUCGAACGGCAGCACAAUAAGCUUUUGCCUUUACGGGUGGCGACGGGCGGAUGGGUGACGCAUACAUCACAAUCUUCUUUUUCGGGGAGGAUAUCGUAGGGCCACUGCCGCUAACACCGCAUACGUCCUACCGCUGAGAGCAGUGGAGCUUCCCACCUUUCCCGACUGUAUUAGCCGGUGCCGCAUUAGCUAGUUGGCGGGGUAAAGGCCCACCAAGGCGACGAUCCGUAGCUGGUCUGAGAGGAUGAUCAGCCACACUGGAACUGAGACACGGUCCAGACUCCUACGGGAGGCAGCAGUGGGGAAUAUUGGACAAUGGGCGCAAGCCUGAUCCAGCAAUACCGCGUGGGUGAAGAAGGCCUUCGGGUUGUAAAGCCCUUUUGUUGGGAAAGAAAAGCAGCAGGUGAAUACCCCGCUGUUCUGACGGUACCCAAAGAAUAAGCACCGGCUAACUUCGUG
Molecule: ribosomal RNA, 492 nt
Filed under: uncultured bacterium
Lineage: Bacteria
Description: partial 16S ribosomal RNA
Rfam family: Bacterial small subunit ribosomal RNA
Source: RNAcentral